RNAcentral lists this ribosomal RNA (274 nucleotides) under uncultured bacterium. Its description in RNAcentral is "partial 16S ribosomal RNA". It matches the Rfam family "Bacterial small subunit ribosomal RNA", at positions 523 to 796 of the family's 1533-position model. The record is from RNAcentral.
AUACGGAGGGGGUUAGCGUUGUUCGGAAUUACUGGGCGUAAAGCGCACGUAGGCGGAUUGGAAAGUUGGGGGUGAAAUCCCAGGGCUCAACCCUGGAACUGCCUCCAAAACUAACAGUCUAGAGUUCGAGAGAGGUGAGUGGAAUUCCAAGUGUAGAGGUGAAAUUCGUAGAUAUUUGGAGGAACACCAGUGGCGAAGGCGGCUCACUGGCUCGAUACUGACGCUGAGGUGCGAAAGCGUGGGGUGCAAACAGGAUUAGAAACCCUAGUAGUCC